GACGAACGCUGGCGGCGUGCUUAACACAUGCAAGUCGAACGGAAAGGCCCUUCGGGGUACUCGAGUGGCGAACGGGUGAGUAACACGUGGGUGAUCUGCCCUGCACUUUGGGAUAAGCCUGGGAAACUGGGUCUAAUACCGAAUAGGACCACGCGCUUCAUGGUGUGUGGUGGAAAGCUUUUGCGGUGUGGGAUGGGCCCGCGGCCUAUCAGCUUGUUGGUGGGGUAAUGGCCUACCAAGGCGACGACGGGUAGCCGGCCUGAGAGGGUGACCGGCCACACUGGGACUGAGAUACGGCCCAGACUCCUACGGGAGGCAGAAGUGGGGAAUAUUGCACAAUGGGCGCAAGCCUGAUGCAGCGACGCCGCGUGAGGGAUGACGGCCUUCGGGUUGUAAACCUCUUUCAAUAGGGACGAAGCGCAAGUGACGGUACCUAUAGAAGAAGCACCGGCCAACUACGUG
This 462-nucleotide ribosomal RNA is filed under the name uncultured bacterium. Its description in RNAcentral is "partial 16S ribosomal RNA". It matches the Rfam family "Bacterial small subunit ribosomal RNA", at positions 28 to 507 of the family's 1533-position model. The record is from RNAcentral.